Perognathus longimembris pacificus (Pacific pocket mouse) is the source of this 128-nucleotide small nucleolar RNA. RefSeq annotates it as small nucleolar RNA SNORA27. NCBI's taxonomy places the organism in Eukaryota, Metazoa, Chordata, Mammalia, Rodentia, Heteromyidae. The record is from RefSeq and is a predicted model, not a curated record. The transcript has a single exon.
AAUACCCCCGUCACUUUGCCAAGGGGACUUAUGUCUUCAUUGGUCAUUCAAGUGGGGCAAAGGAAGUGUCCUUUUAAAACUCAUACAAACUUGAGUGUUUGUUUUGUAACCUGUCAGAGGAAACAAAA